AACUCGGGCUAAUACCGCAUACGCUCUAUGGAGGAAAGCGGGGGACCUUCGGGCCUCGCGCUAUGAGAUGAGCCUACGUCCGAUUAGCUAGUUGGUAGGGUAAUGGCCUACCAAGGCGACGAUCGGUAGCUGGUCUGAGAGGACGAUCAGCCACACUGGAACUGAGACACGGUCCAGACUCCUACGGGAGGCAGCAGUGGGGAAUAUUGGACAAUGGGCGAAAGCCUGAUCCAGCAAUGCCGCGUGUGUGAAGAAGGCCUGCGGGUUGUAAAGCACUUUAAGCGGGGAAGAAAGGCGGGAGGCUAAUACCCUCUUGCACUGACGUUACCUGCAGAAUAAGCACCGGCUAACUCCGUGCCAGCAGCCGCGGUAAUACGGAGGGUGCGAGCGUUAAUCGGAAUUACUGGGCGUAAAGCGCGCGUAGGCGGUUUGUUAAGUCAGCUGUGAAAGCCCUGGGCUCAACCUGGGAAUGGCAGUUGAUACUGGCGAGCUUGAGUGUGGUAGAGGGGUGUGGAAUUUCCGGUGUAGCAGUGAAAUGCGUAGAGAUCGGAAGGAACACCAGUGGCGAAGGCGG
RNAcentral lists this ribosomal RNA (574 nucleotides) under uncultured Methylocaldum sp. RNAcentral's name for it is "bacterial SSU rRNA". It matches the Rfam family "Bacterial small subunit ribosomal RNA", at positions 155 to 724 of the family's 1533-position model. Lineage: Bacteria; Pseudomonadati; Pseudomonadota; Gammaproteobacteria; Methylococcales; Methylococcaceae. The record is from RNAcentral.